CUGAAAGCUACCAGCUGUGACUCCUCUCCAAAACCUGCUUCCCAGCCAAUUCUCAGAGCCAAAAUGGUUGCUGGCUCCCAACCCUCUGGUUUCACCUGGCUUUGCCGAGGAGGAAGCCAGGCUUUAGAGGCCAAGCAAACCGUCCAGGGAUGCAGAGCUGGGAGGUGGCAGAGCCACCAUGGAAACCAGAGUCCAUCUGGUCCUGGAGCCUGUGCUACUUCUGCCGGCUCCCGAGUUUCCCGGGGCAGGGCCUUCAGGGCCCAGGGUGGCCUCUGGGGAGAGUCUGAUGAGGACAGCGAGUGCCUGCUGUGACACCUGGUGGCCGCCGCACUGCAAGGAGCUCCUCUGUGAAGCCUGCCCUGCCUGAUGGUCUGGCAGGAGUUGGAGGUCCCAUCCACAUUCAUGAGGGUGCUUUGGAAU
Molecule: long non-coding RNA, 420 nt
Filed under: Homo sapiens (human)
Lineage: Eukaryota; Metazoa; Chordata; Mammalia; Primates; Hominidae
Description: HSALNT0338576
Source: RNAcentral